Molecule: ribosomal RNA, 111 nt
Filed under: Psilocybe sp. 2 VRZ-2013
Lineage: Eukaryota; Fungi; Basidiomycota; Agaricomycetes; Agaricales; Agrocybaceae
Description: partial 5.8S ribosomal RNA
Rfam family: 5.8S ribosomal RNA
About the family: 5.8S ribosomal RNA (5.8S rRNA) is a component of the large subunit of the eukaryotic ribosome. It is transcribed by RNA polymerase I as part of the 45S precursor that also contains 18S and 28S rRNA. Functionally, it is thought that 5.8S rRNA may be involved in ribosome translocation.
Source: RNAcentral
AGCGAAAUGCGAUAAGUAAUGUGAAUUGCAGAAUUCAGUGAAUCAUCGAAUCUUUGAACACACCUUGCGCUCCUUGGUAUUCCGAGGAGCAUGCCUGUUUGAGUGUCAUUA